UCCCUGGUGGCUUAGACGGUAAAGUGUCUGCUUGCAAUGCAAGAAACCCAGGUUCGAUCCCUGGGUUGGGAA
Transfer RNA from Ovis aries (sheep), 72 nucleotides. It matches the Rfam family "tRNA". Rfam says of the family: Transfer RNA (tRNA) molecules are approximately 80 nucleotides in length. Their secondary structure includes four short double-helical elements and three loops (D, anti-codon, and T loops). The record is from Rfam. NCBI's taxonomy places the organism in Eukaryota, Metazoa, Chordata, Mammalia, Artiodactyla, Bovidae.